RNAcentral lists this transfer RNA (75 nucleotides) under Nanobdellati archaeon. RNAcentral's name for it is "tRNA-Arg". It matches the Rfam family "tRNA". Rfam says of the family: Transfer RNA (tRNA) molecules are approximately 80 nucleotides in length. The record is from RNAcentral. Lineage: Archaea; Nanobdellati.
GGGUCCAUAGCGCAGCUUGGAUAGCGCGGUUGGCUUCGGACCAACAGGUCGGGGGUUCGAAUCCCUCUGGGCCCG